CUUGCCCACCUGGCUGCCCUUAUCCUGUCACUUCUCUCCAUGAUCCAUUCCUUGAGUGGCCACCAGACCUAACGCUGGAAAAGGCCAGCCUAACUGUGUCACUCUCCUGCCCUCAGGGUAAAAUCAAACCCUUUAACUGGACCUAUACUGCAGCCUCUGCUGUCCACACUCCGUGGCCUCUUUAUGUCUCUGCACUUCCCCCCGCUCAAGACAUCACUUCCCCCUGGGCCUUCUCCCACCCCCUGGUCUGGUCAGGACCUCUUGGUCCCCAUAGCACCUCCCACUUCCCCGUGAGCCCAGAGACCAUGCAGUGAGGUCUCCAUUUUAGGGGCUGUCCCCCUAGACUGUGUGCCCCAAGAGGGCAGACUGUGCCGCCCUCGCCCCAUACUCAGCCCCUCACACAAGGCUUUGAACCCCAGAGGCGCUCAACCAACCUCUGGAGGGUAGUCAUAGAGCCUGGGGCAGUGUAGUGGACACCCCGCGAGUUCUGCUCUCGCCACUCUUGCCACUCUUCAGGCCCUGCAUCUCACGGCCACGUUUGGAACCACCCCUUCUUUCCAUGUGGAGGUUCUCCCAGGAUUCUCCCGACACUGAGCCUCCAUCGCCCCACCAGCACUGCACCCACCAGACGGACCAGGAGUCCAACUGGGCCCUUGCCUCUUAUCGUCCACUGCUGAGACAAGACUCAGAGUGACAUGAGGACCAGCCUCGUGACGCGCUCGUUAUGGGCUCCACUCCAACCCUUUCUCUAAGGCCCAAGGGACCUUGAGGGGGAGAUGGCCAUUCCCUCGUCCACACAUUCACUCAUUCACCUGUCCAUUUGGUCAGAUAUACUGCCCAGCCUUACAGGUCCAUGACCCUCAGUCUCAUAGAAGAUGUUGGAAUUUUUCCUUCACAGCUCUGGUCCCAAUUUUGACCAAACAUUUAUUUGCAAAACUGCGUAUUAAAUGUCUGUCUCUCUGACUAGACUGUAAGCCCCAUGAGGACAAGGGUCACAUGUGGCCUCUUCACCCUGUGUCCCGAGGCCCAGGCAGAGCCCUGCAGAGAGCAGGCGCUCAGGAAACAUUUUCGAAGGCCAGCGUGCACGCAUGAAUGAAUGAAUGAAUGGCCCUCUAACAUAGAUAUGAUCAUUCCCACUUUUCAGAUGGGAGACUAAAGGCUCAAAGAGGUCAGGCGGCUGGCCUCCACCACCACACCUGGGCAAGGUGGUGCUGGAAUGUGAACCCAGCCUGCCUGCCUCCCUGGCACCUAGGCUGGGCCUACACACUUAGGCCAUUCUCUCUGGCCUGCAAGGUAGCAUUUUGACUGACCUGGAGAUGGAGAGUGACAUCCUGGUGUCUUCAGAAGCCCUUGAAGAGGAGGCCAGGGUAGACAUGGUCGCCCCUGAGGCCUUUGCCCAGCCCAGCCGCAUGGGGAAGUCCAUGAUUGAAGACCCAGCCACGGAGGUGAUCAAGAAGAUCCUGCAAUGUCCUGACUCAAAAUGCUCAACCCAGCAGUGUGACAACGUUCGGUCCCAGACAGGUACAGACAAACAGGCCUGUGGGUGUCAGGACACUGGCGGUGGGGAAGCUGGUGGUGCCACCUGCCACAUCCUCACGUCGGGUGCUCUGCUCUUCCCCUGCAUGAUUGUUACCCAAAGGCUUGAAGUGACACUGGAACAGGGAGAACAUUCCAUGAAGGCCUUGUCCAGUGCCAGUGCCACCUCAGCAGGGCGGUAGGGAUGCUGGGCUGCCCGGGGUCUCCCCUUCCCAGGCCCCUACCCAUGCCCCUAAACGGAGGCCAGAGACCACCUUGUUGCUUUACCAGACUCUGUCCUCAGAAUGCGCAGCCUGUGCUCACAGCUCUGAGACUCCAAGGGACCCAGCGAGGGCCCGGCUCUGACGCUGGCUUUGGUCAGAUCUGCUGGCUGACUCGGCUCACACGGGCCUCCACCUUGAGAACCUGUCUGAGUUCAGUGGUUUUCCAUGGUGACAGCUGGUGGAGCCGAGCCCUGCUACCUCCUUACACACAUCAUCCUGGUCAGAAACGGACAUUGGAGAUGCAUUUCUUUGGGUUGCAUCACGGAGCCGCAGGAGGAGUCCUGGGCCUCUGCAUCCUGGCCAUUGCUCUGUCCACUGUGCCCUAUGGUGUCAUUAGACUCAUAGCUCAGUGAAUGUGGGCCCUGGCUGACCCCUGACUCUGAUGUUACAGAAGGUGGAUGACAGAAGCCACAUGGCUGAACGGACUUUCUGGGUCCUCUGUGGGCCCUCGGUGACAUGGCUUAAUUCCUGGUUUUCAGGAAGUUGCAGUGAGGAAAUUCCUGCUUUGUAAACCUCCAGAAGGUCUUUUUGAACACAGAGCCAUCUGCAGUGUGGAAAUGAACACCGCCAACCAAAUGAGAAAGGCAAAGGCUAUUUAUUCAGAGCUUGCUCCCGCAAGGGAGGCAGCCGCCAGCACCUGCAUUUCAGCAGAGCCUCAAAGGCAGGCAGAGGAGUGGGAAAGCCGUCCGGGGGAGAAAAGGAAGGCUCCAGGUGUGCCCUGCGUGGAGGCUGGAGGCCUGGGGAGGCUGGAGGCAGGCCAGCUGGCAGGGGUUUCUACGUGACUAUUUAGGGCACCUACUCAGCCUUCUCUGGUUAGUCCUGAGUUGGAAGCAGGGACAAAACUUAGGGACGCUGUCAGUUCUUAAUCAAGUCUUGGACAUUUGGGGCUGAUUGUUACAAGAGUUAUUGUUUAGCUUUCUGGACUGUCACUAGAGGUGACAAUCUGGCUUCCUGCGAGUCUGCCUUCUGGCAGGCUGGCUUCCUGAGCUGUUUACUGUAAUAAGGAGCUCGCUUCCUGGGCAGUUGCUGCAGGCUAUGGGUCAGAAUUCUGUUUUCAUCUGUAGUCUAGCCCUUGUCCACUUGUGGAUUCAGUCUCUCAGCUGUUACAGAAUGAAGUCCCUCUUGCUAGAGCUGCCGGAUAAAACUUCAGUAUGCCCAGUUAAAUAUGAAUUUCAGAUAAACAACACAUAAUAUUUUUAGUACAAAUGUGUCCCAAAUAUUGCAUGGGACAUACUUAAGACUAAAAAUUGCUCAUUGCCUUUGUGAAAUUCAAGUUUAACUGGGCGUGUUGUAUUUUUAUUUGAAAAGCUAGCAGCCCUACAGGUGGCUCGCCGUGUUUUCUUUGGGUCCUCACCACAGGGAAGCAAGGAUACAGGUUCCUGGCCCCUUGCCCCCUCAGCGGCCUUGGGUGGGUUUAGUGUAAAGGCUUCAUCCCACGGCAAGGUUGUCUUCAGGGCUGUCGAGGAGCAGGGGGGCAUCUCGAAGGGCUCGGCCCCAGACCUGGGAGUCAGGUUGCCCCACGGCAGGCCCAGCGCCUCUAGCAAUCCAGGGAGGGCUCCCACAGGCUCAGACCUACCUGUGUCUGUCCCCAGCCUCCAGAACACUGACCCACCUUUGUUCCCCAGCAUCAGUCGGUACUCCAAGCCCAACCGGACAGACAGAAAAUACCAGGUACUCGGGGACAAGCCACCUCCUCCGGCUGAUGAUUAAAACAAAAUCUGUUCCACUUAAUAUGGCUACAUCUCAGCAAACAAGCAAAAUGUCAACUUCAACUGAAAGCACUCCAAGAAGGUUGAGGUCUACAAUGGGCCCCGUCCCUCAGUCAGGAAGCCCACUGUCACAGCGCCCCCACUCACCAGUCGUCUUGUCCACGGCUCUCGCCUCUGGGGUUCUGUGCACCGUGCAGAGAAGGGCGGCUUUUGCAUCAGGUGGCCCUAGUU
Molecule: non-coding RNA, 3739 nt
Organism: Equus caballus (horse)
Lineage: Eukaryota; Metazoa; Chordata; Mammalia; Perissodactyla; Equidae
Source: RefSeq, a predicted model, not a curated record